Molecule: transfer RNA, 72 nt
Filed under: Ovis aries (sheep)
Lineage: Eukaryota; Metazoa; Chordata; Mammalia; Artiodactyla; Bovidae
Also listed under: 1 other name
Rfam family: tRNA
About the family: Transfer RNA (tRNA) molecules are approximately 80 nucleotides in length. Their secondary structure includes four short double-helical elements and three loops (D, anti-codon, and T loops). Further hydrogen bonds mediate the characteristic L-shaped molecular structure. tRNAs have two regions of fundamental functional importance: the anti-codon, which is responsible for specific mRNA codon recognition, and the 3' end, to which the tRNAs corresponding amino acid is attached (by aminoacyl-tRNA synthetases). tRNAs cope with the degeneracy of the genetic code in two manners: having more than one tRNA (with a specific anti-codon) for a particular amino acid; and 'wobble' base-pairing, i.e. permitting non-standard base-pairing at the 3rd anti-codon position.
Source: Rfam by way of RNAcentral
UCCCUGGUGGUCCAGUGGUUAAGACUCUGACUUCCAAGGCAGCGAGUGCAGGUUCGAUCCCUGGUCGGGGAG